CGGGCACAGAGCAGGUUAGCAAGUCAUGCCAUAUCUAGGGCUGCGCCAAAGUCUCACAGAACUAAACCUCCAAUUCUUAUAGAUUCUUCCUUGUGAACUCGUGAUCUCAACAAGAGCAGAAGCGAAAUAUUCAGGAAGUACCAGGGUGUGACUGAAAGCCUCAUCAGAAGUGCCAGGAUUCACCUUCAUUCCCGGAGGAGGGUGUGUCUCUGGAAUCAGUCCCUUCCCCAAAGAUGAAAUCAUGCAGGAC
RNAcentral lists this long non-coding RNA (250 nucleotides) under Mustela putorius furo (domestic ferret). RNAcentral describes it as "lncRNA (ENSMPUG00000026530.1)". The record is from RNAcentral. Lineage: Eukaryota; Metazoa; Chordata; Mammalia; Carnivora; Mustelidae.